UAACUGAACUUAAAAGAAAAGCCAGGGA
This 28-nucleotide non-coding RNA is filed under the name Homo sapiens (human). The record is from RNAcentral. Lineage: Eukaryota; Metazoa; Chordata; Mammalia; Primates; Hominidae.